RNAcentral lists this ribosomal RNA (439 nucleotides) under uncultured bacterium. Its description in RNAcentral is "bacterial SSU rRNA". It matches the Rfam family "Bacterial small subunit ribosomal RNA", at positions 351 to 782 of the family's 1533-position model. The record is from RNAcentral.
GCAGUGGGGAAUAUUGCACAAUGGGCGCAAGCCUGAUGCAGCCAUGCCGCGUGUGUGAAGAAGGCCUUAGGGUUGUAAAGCACUUUCAGCGAGGAGGAAGGGUUCAGUGUUAAUAGCACUGUGCAUUGACGUUACUCGCAGAAGAAGCACCGGCUAACUCCGUGCCAGCAGCCGCGGUAAUACGGAGGGUGCAAGCGUUAAUCGGAAUUACUGGGCGUAAAGCGCACGCAGGCGGUUUGUUAAGUCAGAUGUGAAAUCCCCGAGCUUAACUUGGGAACUGCAUUUGAAACUGGCAAGCUAGAGUCUUGUAGAGGGGGGUAGAAUUCCAGGUGUAGCGGUGAAAUGCGUAGAGAUCUGGAGGAAUACCGGUGGCGAAGGCGGCCCCCUGGACAAAGACUGACGCUCAGGUGCGAAAGCGUGGGGAGCAAACAGGAUUAGA